AGUUUCUAGCAAAACGUUAACCACGGGGACCACCAACAGCAAGGAAAAUCUAGCAAGCGGCCAACACCUCAACCAUUGUGAGAUGCAAUCAGUCUGGCGUGGUGAGCUUUAGAGGAGAUCUUUCCGGAACAGAGUGGAGAGUCUCAAAAUUUAGCAGCCAUGCCUGUCUCCAAAGAGCAGACCACACACAAAUUCCACAAGUCAGUGACCCUUGUGUCCUGUGUUCUACCUCCUCCUCUUGACAAUUAACACGUCAUUCCCUCAGACACUCCUGCUGUCCUGGUUAGUGAUGGAGCUCCCCUGCCCAUCUCUGCCUUAGACCCAAGUCAGCUUCUCUGGACUGAAGAGCCAACAGACAGAACCACUCUGCAUCAGACACUGGUUUACACAUCAGAGAAGACAACAUUUUCACAACCAACAAUACAUCAGGAAAGACAGCACCUCAGCUAAUGAUUCCUACAUUGAUGGGAAGAUCUUCAGAAUCUUUCAGUGUCCCAAAGGAUGAAGAUCAAAGGGAAUCACUGAGCCAGUGACUCUGACGGGUCUAUUUUGGAUACCAAUGACCACAAGGAAGAAGAUAAGGAUGGCAGUGGAGGCUCUGGCACGUAACACAGCUUCACUUGUCAUGAAGGAGAGUGGGCAGCUGCUUUUUGGGGAAGAACUCCUCAGCUGUACAGCCCAAAGGCAGCAAUGAGAAACAGGAAGGAUGCACUGGCCCUUGCUGUCUAACACGUGUCACUGAUGACUAAGAAGACAGAUUUCUCAACUUAUUA
Molecule: long non-coding RNA, 773 nt
Organism: Homo sapiens (human)
Lineage: Eukaryota; Metazoa; Chordata; Mammalia; Primates; Hominidae
Source: Ensembl